This is a long non-coding RNA of Mustela lutreola (European mink), 1084 nucleotides long. RefSeq lists it as uncharacterized. NCBI's taxonomy places the organism in Eukaryota, Metazoa, Chordata, Mammalia, Carnivora, Mustelidae. The record is from RefSeq and is a predicted model, not a curated record. The transcript has 2 exons.
AGGAGGCUUGGUCUUCCUGCAUCUGCAGGGAUACUGGUUUUAAACAGUGAGUUGGAGGAUGUGGGUCUCAUCUACACUGUGCAUAAGAAGGGCAUUUCCAAGCCCCAGGUUUCCCUUUCCUCUUUCCUCGGGCUCAGAAUCCUUCUCUGCUGCAGGCAGGCCACGCUGGCAUACCUGGAAGAGGAAAAGCAGACAAAAGCCUCUGAGCCUCGGACUAACCACUGCCUCUGUCCUCAGCAGGACCCCCAGCAAGGAGACCUGAAGAGAUGAUGCUGGAUCUUCUGGGACCAUUUCCUCUCCCUCUGGUGCUGCUGGGAUCAUGGGGGCCAGUGCCACUUGCUGCUAGUCCUCCAAACCUGAAAGGGCUCAAGGGUUUGAAAUUCAGCAUGUAAGAGCAGGUCCUGUCCAAUGCAAGACAGAAAUGAGUGGGGCCAAUAAUUAUACUCAGACUUGUAAACCUUCAAACACCUUUCUGCACAACACCUUCCAGAACGCGGCUGCUACCUGUCUUUUGCCCAAGACAGACUGUGAGACUGGCCAGAAAAACUGUUACUGGAGUGUGAAUUGUAUUAACAUGACUUACUGCUGUCACUCUGGAUGGACAGUGUGACUGCCGCUACAAGGCUACGCUCCAGAACCCGUUCUACCUUUUUAAAUGUAACAAGUUUCAGCCAGGUUUCCCUUCCAAUAGUAUGCUUCCUGUACACUUAAACAGUACCAGAUCACAGCCCCCUGGAUAGUUUGAUUAGACUACAUUUCCCAUUACUUUGCCUCACACUUGGUGCAGGUUCUCUUGUGCUCCCUUCUGCCUUUUUUUUUUUUUUUUUCAUUGUUGAUUUCCAUGGUUCCCAUAGAAGAAAGAAGGAGGGCAGUGAGAGAAUUAUGGGGCCAUGAUGCCAGACCAGAGCUGGGGACAAAAACAAAUAGCAUUCCUUUCUGCUUUGGAGCUUUGUGUGUUUUGGAGAAGGGUAAUAGGGAAAGGGGCAAGGAAAGACCCAAGCCCCCAUAUUUUUAAUCUUGGGACAUCAUCCAAGUUUGUGGCAUUCUGUUCACAGUAAUAGAAUCACUUUCUGCUGCAUUGUAA